Long non-coding RNA from Myodes glareolus (Bank vole), 4644 nucleotides. RefSeq lists it as uncharacterized. Lineage: Eukaryota; Metazoa; Chordata; Mammalia; Rodentia; Cricetidae. The record is from RefSeq and is a predicted model, not a curated record.
GGUAUGUUGUACUUGUUUGUUUUUGGAGGUUCCCAUUUUUAGUUCCAGCCCACUGCCUGCGCUGGAAGUCCAAGAGGAAGCGAGUGCAGGGAGUUCUCCCAGAGCUGACUUGCACUUCCUCACGGAUGCGGGAGGCCGGGUAAGCCCUCCUGGCCUCUCUCCCCGGACUGGCGGCGCUGGAAACUGAGCAGCCAAACCAGAGGCGGAGGAGACGACCGUGGAGUGAUUUGUCCUGAAACCAUCAGGUGCAAAAGCUGCCAGGACAAAACAGAGUCCAACGGGACCACUGUGUCCUUUGGAUAGCUGGGGAAAAAAACUUCUUGGUGUGUGUGUGUGUGUGUGUGUGUGUGUGUGUGUGUGUGUGUGUGUGUCUGCUUUGCUUUGGAUCAUUUGGAAGCCUUCCACUUCAAAUGAAGUACAAUCUCUCUCUCUCUCUCUCUCUCUCUCUCUCUCUCUCUCUCUCUCUCUCUCCAGAAAAAUGAGGGAUUCAGAUAUGAGAAAAAUGAGGGAUAACUUCCCAUAAUGGAAGUUAGAUUUUAAGAUCGUAUAAGAUCCCUCACAAGACCCUCUCCAUGAUUUUUAGUGCCAUUCACAAACUUCCAAACUUCCAAAGUGUCAUACUCUGACUUCUUAAGUAAUUUUAAUAAGAAAUGGUACAGUUUCCCCCCUCCCCAUAAGCUCUGGGUUAGCGUCUCUUCUUUUUUACUAUGUAGGGCCUGUCUGCCUUCAGAGCUCAGCAGUAUCACUUAGGAGAGCCCUCAGUGCUGACUUUUCUGUGAAUGACUCCAGGGAGCACAAUGAGAAGCUGUUUGGAUGAUUGCACACUCCAGCGCAGGCAGCUGGUAGGGGAAUGAGUUAAGUUCAUUCAUUCAAAAGUAUUCGCUAGGGGCCUUAGGACCUCUUGGGUUUUCUGGGUGUGGGGACUUUCAAAGACAAUGGGCUGUCAGGUGUUAUGCAAAUAAAGAAAGCAAACCCCCGGGUCCUGUCCCCCCCCCCCAGGUCAGGGACUCCUCUGUUAGGGAACAAUUCCUCCUCCCUUAAGGGUUCAUUGUUUCCGUCUUAGCGAAGUGGCUGGGAGGGGAGGGGUUGAGGGUGGAGAAGGCACAGCACAGGGAAGGAGGUGAUGGAGAAAGAGAAUGGAGAGGGUUCCUGGCUUCUGUUGUGGCGUCUUUUCUAUUUGACUUCAUGGUUGUAAGUAUUUCCAGAUGGUGAAUCAGACACCAGACGUAACAAUAUUUCCAUAUUUGGGUAUAGCAGUAGCCUGCGUUUUUAACAUUUUUCUGCCUCUGUUAUCCAACCACAAGGCAUUCUUGACAGCUUCAAAUGUUGUUAAAUAUAGACUUAACUUCUGUUCCCAGAGCAGGAAAUUCUUUGGAAUUCCUUGUUUUUCACGCAAUCUGUCUAUCAUGAUUUAAAAUAAAGUUGCAGAGGGUGAUCCAACUGGCCUGAAUAUACUGUGUUCCUUCGCUGGUGGAGGGAGGAGCAGCCUGGAGGUCCACUAUACUGCACAGCAUUCAGACAGACAGGCCGUUCCAUAGAUGCCUUUAAACCAGAUUAAGGUUUUCUACGAGGAUGUGUGUGUGUGUGUGGGGGGGGUUGUUUCUGGUCUCCAACUGGGCAAUCUCAAAGAAUGGGCUUGUCCCCAGAGGAGAAACCCGGAGAACAUUACCAUCAGCAGCCCAUUUAAAGCAGCGGCUGUCUGGUGGGAAGGGGUGGGAAGCUGGAGUCCACAAGGCCAGGAGGUGCCGGAGGAGAGGCUGCUGUAACCUGUGUGCACAGCCUUGGCAGACAGCAUGCCCUGCUUCGCCUACUGGUAACCAAGAGGAACAGCGGUUCCUUAAGUCCUUGCCUAGGAUGGUCCAGAAACCCCAGACGUCCUGUCGCCUUCUCACCUCCUCUGCUGAGAGCUACAGAUCUUCCGUUGACAGACGAGGGGAAUGUGCAAACGGUGUGGGUAACAGAAUGACCCCAGUCCAGGGGACACACACAGUCAAGUUGCUGCAGACAGCGAGGUCACAGAAUGCCGUGCCUGAGGACGCCUGGCUGAUGCUUGUCCUUAGUGUCAGGGGCUGUUGGAAUGGGUGGAAGAAAACAUAGGCCUGUGUUCUCACAUAAGAGGUAUACCAGAGGUCAGAUGUCGACACCGUUCUGGCCGAUUCUAGGAAGCCUGAAGACGAUCCCUCACAGUUGCUGGUUGCCACGUUCAGGCUGCAGACCUCAAGGGACUUGCCCUCUCUGGUGCCUGGAGCUCCAGCUACCUGCGAAGCUUCUAAGAAGAGCGCCCGCUGCCCAUUUCAUUGCCAAAUAAACUUUACUUAAGAAUCAGAAGUGAUGUGGCCCAGAAACUAAAGCGUUUGCCCAGCAAACAUGUGGACCUGGGUUCGGAUCCCCAGAACACAUGUGAGAGCUGGAUCUCGGGGCCUGGAAAGCUGGCUCCUCAGCAGCUAAGAGAACUCGUUCUUCUUGCAGCAGCCAGGAGUUCAGCUCUGAGCACCCACACGAUGGCUCACAAUCACCCACAAUUCCAGUUCCAAAAGAUCUGACAACCUCUUCUGACCUCUGCUACCACCAGGCACACAUGUGGUGUGCAUACACACAUGCAGGCCAAACAUCCAAACAAAAAUCCAUCUUUAAAAAAGUAAGCUGAAUAUGGUAAUCUCAGCAUGAGGAGGUAGUGAUGGAUCAAUCUUUAGACUGGUCAAGCAGUCUAGCGAAAUCAGUGGGCUUCGGGGUUAGCAAGAGACCAGGACGCAAAAAGAGUAAGUUGGAGUCAGCUUUUCAGAUCCUUGCUCUUGGGAUGCAGAGACAAGCAGAUCUCUUCAAAGACUCAAGUCUAGGACCAACCUAGUCUGCAGGGCAAAUUCCAGACCAACCAAGGCUACAUAAUAAAACUGAGCCAAUAAAACAACAACAAUAAUGGUGCUACUGAUGCUGUGGAGAGUGAUGGGGAAGAUGCUAUCGAUUUCUGGCUUUCGUAGGCAGGCAUACACACAUAACAGAGCUGUCAUUCAACUCUUGGUUCUAGUAGAAGUUUAUGACCUAUUAGUAAAAUGGAAAAACUGUCAUUUUCUUAUUUUUUUUUUAUUCUUCCCCAAAUAUCAUUCAGGGUUUUUUUUCUCUCUGCUCUCCCCUGACUCAGUGCUGUGAGCAGCUGGCACUGUCUUGGCAACAUGACAGGAAACACUUUUCUUAGGGCACCCGUAUCCAAUGGGAACGAAAUCUGUUUAUUUCCUCCAGCUGGCACGGGGCCACAGGAAGCCUGGCGUUUCCAGCUGUAUCCCGUACCUUACAGAACUUCUUGUCUUGUGCUAACACAGAAAUAUUUCACUGGAAGGAACUGAAAGGAACCUCCCGCCCCGCCCUGCAAUCUAUCUUCAGGAGAUGAUUGAGCAAUUUGAAAUAUAGUAAUUAUAAGUCACUAUCAAAUGGGCUCGCUCCAGACUCAGGGAUUCAAGAAUUCAGCCUUCACCUCUUGUGCUUUAUUUCUGGAAACACUAUUUUUUUUAAUUACCCACUUAAAACACACACACACACACACACACACAUGCACACGCACACACCACAUUAGGAAUUCAGAAACGAUUUGAUUUGAGCACAGUUGAUGAGCACACAGAGUCCACAGUCAGACUGAAGCUUUUUAUCUGUGCCAGCUUUUACAGGUCACGGGAUUAAGUAUUAGGGAGAGUUCUGACACUGAGUCGAUUGAGCAAAGAAAGACACAAGGAUGUGUGUUAAUACUCAGCCUGAUGCUUGGCACACAAAAAAAGUGCCUAAUACAUUGUGAUUACCCCAAUUGCUAAGCACUAUCAGGAUCUCAGCUUUUCUGAUAAUUAACAUCAAAUGAACUCGCCUUGUUCUAGAAAGUAUUUUCUAGUCUAUAGAUUAGAUGGAUUCAGGCUAUAUAUGCAUGUGUAUGGCGUACUGACAAUGCAAUCACAAAGACCCAUUUAGCCUAAUAUUCUGAUCUGCACUGGGUACCGGAGAUCGACCAAUACAGCACUCAAACAGCCUUGCCUACCAAAGCAUUGCCAUUUUGCCGGUGGCCCUCCGUGGUGGUGAGCAGUGUGAGAUUUGUCUUGGUUUCCUCGGCAAUGAAAUGAAAGGGUUGGACUAAAGAGUCAGAGAAGUGUUUCUGCCAAGGAGUAGUUAAGCAAAACAAACAAACAAACAAACAAACAAGUGCUGUGUCUCGGGGUGAGACCUGGCUUCUACUUGGCCUCAGCAGUGGGGCCAUUUGGAACCAUCUACGGAGCCCGCCUUUUGCCGAGAAUACAGGCAUCGAACUGAACUUUAUAAAUAGCCCUGUGGUGUGUUUUAUUAAAAGAUGAGAUAAGGAGGCUUCACCAGAGCUUUGUAACCAGUGCACCCAUGCAAGGCAAAGCUCCCACUAGAGCAGAGUGUCUUUGCCACAGGCCACUGCUUUCAAGAGCGGCGUGGUAUGGGUGCCCCUGUGAAAUCCACCUGAAAAUUCAAAAACUAGUCAACAGUUUCUGGAAGUCUCCUUAACAACUGACUGAAUCCAUCCCUUCAAUUGUUCUUCCCAGAUGUGUCUUCAGUUUAUUUGUGUCUUCAGUAACUGUGGACUCCCAGUUGCUAUGGGGUGAGAGUCUGUUAAUAAAAAUCACUCUCUUUAGGGCCCCUGCC